RNAcentral lists this ribosomal RNA (1331 nucleotides) under Fusarium oxysporum. Its description in RNAcentral is "partial large subunit ribosomal RNA". It matches the Rfam family "Eukaryotic large subunit ribosomal RNA", at positions 76 to 1438 of the family's 3401-position model. Lineage: Eukaryota; Fungi; Ascomycota; Sordariomycetes; Hypocreales; Nectriaceae. The record is from RNAcentral.
UGCCCUAGUAACGGCGAGUGAAGCGGCAACAGCUCAAAUUUGAAAUCUGGCUCUCGGGCCCGAGUUGUAAUUUGUAGAGGAUACUUUUGAUGCGGUGCCUUCCGAGUUCCCUGGAACGGGACGCCAUAGAGGGUGAGAGCCCCGUCUGGUUGGAUGCCAAAUCUCUGUAAAGUUCCUUCAACGAGUCGAGUAGUUUGGGAAUGCUGCUCUAAAUGGGAGGUAUAUGUCUUCUAAAGCUAAAUACCGGCCAGAGACCGAUAGCGCACAAGUAGAGUGAUCGAAAGAUGAAAAGCACUUUGAAAAGAGAGUUAAAAAGUACGUGAAAUUGUUGAAAGGGAAGCGUUUAUGACCAGACUUGGGCUUGGUUAAUCAUCUGGGGUUCUCCCCAGUGCACUUUUCCAGUCCAGGCCAGCAUCAGUUUUCCCCGGGGGAUAAAGGCGGCGGGAAUGUGGCUCUCUUCGGGGAGUGUUAUAGCCCACCGUGUAAUACCCUGGGGGGGACUGAGGUUCGCGCAUCUGCAAGGAUGCUGGCGUAAUGGUCAUCAACGACCCGUCUUGAAACACGGACCAAGGAGUCGUCUUCGUAUGCGAGUGUUCGGGUGUCAAACCCCUACGCGUAAUGAAAGUGAACGCAGGUGAGAGCUUCGGCGCAUCAUCGACCGAUCCUGAUGUUCUCGGAUGGAUUUGAGUAAGAGCAUACGGGGCCGGACCCGAAAGAAGGUGAACUAUGCCUGUAUAGGGUGAAGCCAGAGGAAACUCUGGUGGAGGCUCGCAGCGGUUCUGACGUGCAAAUCGAUCGUCAAAUAUGGGCAUGGGGGCGAAAGACUAAUCGAACCUUCUAGUAGCUGGUUUCCGCCGAAGUUUCCCUCAGGAUAGCAGUGUUGAACUCAGUUUUAUGAGGUAAAGCGAAUGAUUAGGGACUCGGGGGCGCUAUUUAGCCUUCAUCCAUUCUCAAACUUUAAAUAUGUAAGAAGCUCUUGUUGCUUAAUUGAACGUGAGCAUUCGAAUGUAUCAACACUAGUGGGCCAUUUUUGGUAAGCAGAACUGGCGAUGCGGGAUGAACCGAACGCGAGGUUAAGGUGCCAGAGUAGACGCUCAUCAGACACCACAAAAGGUGUUAGUACAUCUUGACAGCAGGACGGUGGCCAUGGAAGUCGGAAUCCGCUAAGGACUGUGUAACAACUCACCUGCCGAAUGUACUAGCCCUGAAAAUGGAUGGCGCUCAAGCGUCUCACCCAUACCUCGCCCUCAGGGUAGAAACGAUGCCCUGAGGAGUAGGCGGACGUGGAGGUCAGUGACGAAGCCUAGGGCGUGAGCCCGGGUAAAGUUCCU